RNAcentral lists this ribosomal RNA (251 nucleotides) under uncultured prokaryote. RNAcentral's name for it is "partial 16S rRNA". It matches the Rfam family "Bacterial small subunit ribosomal RNA", at positions 525 to 775 of the family's 1533-position model. The record is from RNAcentral.
ACGGAGGGAGCUAGCGUUGUUCGGAAUUACUGGGCGUAAAGCGCACGUAGGCGGCUUUGUAAGUCAGAGGUGAAAGCCUGGAGCUCAACUCCAGAACUGCCUUUGAGACUGCAUCGCUUGAAUCCAGGAGAGGUGAGUGGAAUUCCGAGUGGGGAGGUGACAGGCGUAGAUACGAGGAAGAGGAGCAGUGGCGAAGGCGGCACACAGGACUGGAAGCGACUCUGAUGUGGGAAAGCGUGGAGAGCAAGCAG